UACGUAGGGGGCGAGCGUUGUCCGGAUUUAUUGGGCGUAAAGAGCUCGUAGGCGGUUUGGUAAGUUGGAUGUGAAAUCUCCAGGCUCAACUUGGAGGGGUCAUUCGAUACUGCCAUGACUAGAGUUCGGUAGGGGAGUGUGGAAUUCCUGGUGGAGCGGUGAAAUGCGCAGAUAUCAGGAGGAACACCCGUAGCGAAGGCGGCACUCUGGGCCGGAACUGACGCUUAGGAGCGAAAGCGUGGGGAGCGAACAGG
This 254-nucleotide ribosomal RNA is filed under the name uncultured bacterium. RNAcentral describes it as "partial 16S ribosomal RNA". It matches the Rfam family "Bacterial small subunit ribosomal RNA", at positions 524 to 776 of the family's 1533-position model. The record is from RNAcentral.